CAGGUCUCUACGGUCAGUUAAGACCAGAGCCAGUCCCUGGGACUUAUGGUGGACCAGAUGUAAAGAACAACUUCAAUGGCUUUCUAAGAAAUGGCUAUGGAGGUCGCUGUCCUCCAGGGAAAUGUUGAGCCUAAAGACAUCUCUCCAUCACCCCAAUCUGAAGAUCUUCAGGGGAGCUUGGAGCCCAAGACCUGGCCACCUUUCUUGCAAUCAGGCUUUUUGGAAAGACAGGCUCUUUGGGAGGGUAGUCUCCCCCCUGCCCCAGGAGGGUCCUUUUUUGGUCUCUUAAAUUCAGCCUUAUAAAGGGCCCCUCAAGGUAGAGAGCAGGAGGAAGUCCUGGGCCUGUUAA
Gracilinanus agilis (Agile Gracile Mouse Opossum) is the source of this 349-nucleotide long non-coding RNA. RefSeq lists it as uncharacterized. The transcript is spliced from 3 exons. Lineage: Eukaryota; Metazoa; Chordata; Mammalia; Didelphimorphia; Didelphidae. The record is from RefSeq and is a predicted model, not a curated record.